RNAcentral lists this ribosomal RNA (406 nucleotides) under uncultured bacterium. RNAcentral describes it as "partial 16S ribosomal RNA". It matches the Rfam family "Bacterial small subunit ribosomal RNA", at positions 29 to 526 of the family's 1533-position model. The record is from RNAcentral.
AUUGAACGCUGGCGGCAGGCCUAACACAUGCAAGUCGAACGAGUGGCGGACGGGUGAGUAAUGUCUGGGAAACUGCCCGAUGGAGGGGGAUAACUACUGGAAACGGUAGCUAAUACCGCAUACCAUCGGAUGUGCCCAGAUGGGAUUAGCUAGUAGGUGGGGUAACGGCUCACCUAGGCGACGAUCCCUAGCUGGUCUGAGAGGAUGACCAGCCACAUGGGAACUGAGCAAGGGUCCAGACUCCAAAGGGAGGCAGCAGUGGGGAAUAUGGCACAAGGGGCGCAAGCCUGAUGCAGCCAUGCCGCGUGUAUGAAGAAGGCCUUGGGGUUGUAAAGUACUUUCAGCGGGGAGGCGUUACUCGCAGAAGAAGCCCCGGCUAACUCCGUGCCAGCAGCCGCGGUAAUUC